This 255-nucleotide ribosomal RNA is filed under the name uncultured bacterium. Its description in RNAcentral is "partial 16S ribosomal RNA". It matches the Rfam family "Bacterial small subunit ribosomal RNA", at positions 524 to 777 of the family's 1533-position model. The record is from RNAcentral.
UACGAAGGGGGCUAGCGUUGUUCGGAUUUACUGGGCGUAAAGCGCACGUAGGCGGAUCGUUAAGUCGGGGGUGAAAUCCUGGAGCUCAACUCCAGAACUGCCUUCGAUACUGGCGAUCUUGAGUCCGGAAGAGGUGAGUGGAACUCCUAGUGUAGAGGUGGAAUUCGUAGAUAUUAGGAAGAACACCAGUGGCGAAGGCGGCUCACUGGUCCGGUACUGACGCUGAGGUGGCGAAAGCGUGGGGAGCAAACAGGG